This 253-nucleotide ribosomal RNA is filed under the name uncultured prokaryote. Its description in RNAcentral is "partial 16S ribosomal RNA". It matches the Rfam family "Bacterial small subunit ribosomal RNA", at positions 525 to 777 of the family's 1533-position model. The record is from RNAcentral.
ACGUAGGCAGCAAGCGUUGUUCGGAAUUACUGGGCGUAAAGAGUGUGUAGGCGGUGCUCUAAGUCUGUUGUGAAAUCUCCCGGCUUAACCGGGAGGGUGCGGCGGAAACUGGAGUGCUUGAGGGUGGGAGAGGUAAGCGGAAUUCCUGGUGUAGCGGUGAAAUGCGUAGAUAUCAGGAGGAACACCUGUGGUGUAGACAGCUUACUGGACCACUUCUGACGCUGAGACACGAAAGCGUGGGUAGCAAACAGGA